GGCAUCGGGACGCGCCCGCGUUCCUCCGCGUGGGUCAGUCCUGCGCGGCCGGUGACCCUGCAGGGCUUGAGCCGGUGGGAGAGGAGAGGCCGGCUAGUCGGUGCCUGAGAAGGAAGAAGACUGUGUGAUUGAACCUGUGGAUCCCUGUCGCGUAUUUCUGCCUGAUUCAUUUUCCAGCGACCCUGGUGAAAAUCUACAAAAAGCCACCCUAGGGCCACAGGAUGGAGAGAGAAGAAUCAAUUUUUGUCUCUUCUAUCCAGUGAGAGGAGAGUUUGACUCACCGCAUUACAUGAACCAUCAAGAACUGUGUCCAUGGAAGUGUGGUCCCAAAUGUUUGAGGAGAAAGCUCUCCUGUGUACCUUAUUGCAAGGAACAAUGAACAGUGAACAUGAUUAGAGGAAUUUCUCUGAAUUCCCUCCACAUGCCCAGUGGUGCUCACUAUGGAUGGAAGAUGAAUGUACUGUCACAGGUAUCAGUGACAUUCCAGGAUGUGGCUGUGGACUUCACUGGGGAGGAGUGGCAGUUGCUGGGAUGUGCUCAAAGAAAGCUGUAUUGGGAUGUGAUGCUGGAGAACUUUAGAAACAUCCUCUCGGUGGGUAAGGACAGCUUCCCUGUGUAACUCAGGAGUAGCCCCUGUGCCCUUACUUUAAGACUUGGGAAAGCUGUGAAUGUUCGGCAGCUUUAACAAGUUUGGCCCAGAAUUUUUGUGGUCUAAGAUUCUUAACCCCCUUUGAGAUUAAAUGUAAACAGAUAAUAUGUCUAAUUCUUCUGCCUCCCAAAUGGAGAAGGGUCUUUUCCAUUCUAAAUCCUGUUCGUCAUUCUUCAUAGGCCCUGGACUACAGGAGGCAGACCCAAAUUGUCAGGUAGUUGUUUGUCUGUAGCACUUUGUCCCCAGUUCUGUGUUGUUUCCCAUGAACAAGGUGUCCGGUCCCCAAAACAAAAGUGAUCUUCAGAAUGAAGCAAGGACACGACCCAUGGAUGGUGGAUGGAGAGAACCCACAUUGGCACUGUCCAGUUGAGUCAGAGAAACCAGGCAGAUGGGAGUCUUUGGAAUUGAGAUCCCAGUUGGUCAGUGAGGGGAAGGCACCUUGGAACUUUUCAGGAAGCACUUCUUUUUUUUUUUUUUUUAAUGUCUUUUUUGACUUGUCACUUCCACUCUCCCACGUGGCUGCUCUUGUGCGGAGGGAUGUCCCUCCUCCCUGCUCUGGCUCCUCCCACUGCUGAUCCAACUCAGGGCUUGCUCGGUUCUCUCAGUUCCCAGAAUCCUCAUUCCUCUUCCUCCUCAACAUGGCCGAUCUUUUCAUACAUCCAGUUCUAACAACAUAGUCAGAUUGUGUUUAUUUGAAAUGUGAGAAAUGAUGUAAGAGUCCAGAGCGUUACGCUAAUAAGAUUCUCUCUUGAUGGAAGGCAGUCUCAGAAAUAGUGAGGAAUUGUCUUUUCUCUCAUUUCCCUUAACAUUAUUAUAUCAGUUGACUUAGCAUUUGUAGGGUUUUGAGCUUGGCAGUGGUGGUGUUGCAUGGGACAUGGUGUGGCAUCAUGGUAAUGGCAGUCAGAAUUAACCUUCCUAACUACACAGUAUAUAAAGACAAAAGUUGAUGAAGCCUAGGAGUCUUGUGGCUCAGAUUCCCAGGGUUAAUGGAAGCUAUAAGUGUGGAAACCAAAGUGUAAAAUUUGAAGAGUGAUGGCAGGGGCAAAGCAGGGUUCCGGAGACUAGAUUUAUGGAAGAUUGAAUGAGGUCAUAAAAAAUGGGACUCAUUAUCGGGAAAGAUUCCUUUCAAAUAGUAGAAAUAACUGAUGAUAGAAGCAAAAGUAGAUUAUGUCUGGUCUCUUAAACGUUCUGCUGAGUGGGUGUGUUCCUGGCUAUUUGUAAGCAUUGGAGGAUGAAUCCUAGCUGAAAGUGUAGUUGGGGGAAUUUCUACAAAUAUGUCCCAAGUGUGUUUUGGGUGGUUUGAGAGGAUAUGAGAAUGUGCCUAUAGGUAAAAGGGAGUUAAUGGCUUGACAGUUCACUUGGUGGUUGUGUGCAAGAAGAGUAAGAAGGACAAGAAGUGUCUGGAGACUGAGGAGGAUCCUAACAGAAUAAUUUAAAAUUUUUUUUUUCCUCUUUUUAGGGCCACACCUUCGGCAUAUGGACAUUCCCAGGCUGGGUGUCUAAUUGGAGCCGCAGCUGCUGGCCUACACCACAGCCACAGCCAUGCAGGAUCCAAGCCACAUCUGCAAUCUACACCACAGCUCACAGCAACGCUGGAUCCUUAACCCACUGAGUGAGGCCAGUGAUCUCAUGGAUACUAGUCGGGUUCGUAACCCACUGAGCCACACGGGAAGUUCCAGGAUAAUUUAAUUUUUAAAUAUUGUAGAUCUUGGCUCUGAUAAGAUUCCUCCAAACCAGUCCAGCUCUUCUCAUUUCCCCAUAAUGCCUUCAUCUCCUUUUCCCCUGGUCACCCUCUUUAUUCAUUCCUCUUAGAUGGCUGUCCCUAUUCUCAGAGCUUACUCUACAUCCUUGUAAGAGCCCAUUUUAACUUUCUUUGUCCUCAUUAUAACAUUACUUUGUGCCUCUUUCACCAUCUUUCACAGGUUGAAAAGUCAUAUUUAUAAGUAGAAAAACCUACUUGUUCUCAUUAUUGUUUUCCAGAGGCCUCCACUUAAGCAGUGUCUUCUUAAUGUUGAGGGCAGGGAAAAUACAGAUUUCUUUUUUGUUUUGUAGUCUAGAAUGGGAAGCUAGAGCUGAAACCAGAGACUUUGUGUAUGUGUCUGUGAUUUAAAAUAAAAAGCAUUAUUUGAAAUC
RNAcentral lists this long non-coding RNA (2782 nucleotides) under Sus scrofa (pig). RNAcentral's name for it is "lncRNA (ENSSSCG00050016375.1)". The record is from RNAcentral. Lineage: Eukaryota; Metazoa; Chordata; Mammalia; Artiodactyla; Suidae.